RNAcentral lists this long non-coding RNA (263 nucleotides) under Hordeum vulgare. Its description in RNAcentral is "long non-coding RNA (HVUL_LNC000934)". Lineage: Eukaryota; Viridiplantae; Streptophyta; Magnoliopsida; Poales; Poaceae. The record is from RNAcentral.
AGAGGAGAAGAAGAAGAGGAGUAGGAGGAGGAGGAGGAGGAGGAGAAGAAAAAGAAGAAGAAGAAGAAGAAAAAGAAGAAGAAGAAGAAGAAGAAGCGGAGAAGAAAAAAAUAAGAAGGAGAAGAAGAAGAAGAAGAAGAAGAAGAAGAAGAGAAGAAAAAAUAAGAAGGAGAAGAAGUAAAGAAGAAGAGAAUAAGAAAAAAAUACGAAGGAGAAGAAGAGAAAAAAGAAGAAGAAGUUGAUUUUUUAUUGUUUGGUAUUUA